This 480-nucleotide ribosomal RNA is filed under the name uncultured bacterium. Its description in RNAcentral is "partial 16S ribosomal RNA". It matches the Rfam family "Bacterial small subunit ribosomal RNA", at positions 28 to 523 of the family's 1533-position model. The record is from RNAcentral.
GACGAACGCUGGCGGCGUGCCUAACACAUGCAAGUCGAGCGAAUGAAGUUCCUUCGGGAAUGGAUUUAGCGGCGGACGGGUGAGUAACACGUGGGCAACGUGCCUCAUAGAGGGGAAUAGCCUUCCGAAAGGGAGAUUAAUACCGCAUAAGAUUGUAGUACCGCAUGGUACAGCAAUUAAAGGAGCAAUCAGCUAUGAGAUGGGCCCGCGGCGCAUUAGCUAGUUGGUGAGGUAACGGCUCACCAAGGCGACGAGGCGUAGCCGACCUGAGAGGGUGAUCGGCCACAUUGGGACUGAGACACGGCCCAGACUCCUACGGGAGGCAGCAGUGGGGAAUAUUGCACAAUGGGGGAAACCCUGAUGCAGCAACGCCGCGUGAGUGAUGACGGCCUUCGGGUUGUAAAACUCUGUCUUCAGGGACGAUAAUGACGGUACCUGAGGAGGAAGCCACGGCUAACUACGUGCCAGCCGCCGCCGUAA